RNAcentral lists this ribosomal RNA (670 nucleotides) under alpha proteobacterium AP-17. Its description in RNAcentral is "bacterial SSU rRNA". It matches the Rfam family "Bacterial small subunit ribosomal RNA", at positions 25 to 742 of the family's 1533-position model. Lineage: Bacteria; Pseudomonadati; Pseudomonadota; Alphaproteobacteria. The record is from RNAcentral.
CAGAACGAACGCUGGCGGCAUGCCUAACACAUGCAAGUCGAACGAACCUUCGGGGUUAGUGGCGCACGGGUGCGUAACGCGUGGGAAUCUGCCCUUAGGUACGGAAUAACAGUGAGAAAUUACUGCUAAUACCGUAUGAUGUCUUCGGACCAAAGAUUUAUCGCCUAGGGAUGAGCCCGCGUAGGAUUAGCUAGUUGGUGAGGUAAAGGCUCACCAAGGCUACGAUCCUUAGCUGGUCUGAGAGGAUGAUCAGCCACACUGGGACUGAGACACGGCCCAGACUCUACGGGAGGCAGCAGUGGGGAAUAUUGGACAAUGGGCGAAAGCCUGAUCCAGCAAUGCCGCGUGAGUGAAGAAGGCCUUCGGGGUUGUAAAGCUCUUUUACCCGGGAAGAUAAUGACCGUACCGGGAGAAUAAGCCCCGGCUAACUCCGUGCCAGCAGCCGCGGUAAUACGGAGGGGGCUAGCGUUGUUCGGAAUCACUGGGCGUAAAGCGUGCGUAGGCGGCCAUUCAAGUCAGAGGUGAAAGCCCAGGGCUCAACCCUGGAACUGCCUUUGAAACUAGAUGGCUGGAACACGGGAGAGGUGAGUGGAAUUCCGAGUGUAGAGGUGAAAUUCGUAGAUAUUCGGAAGAACACCAGUGGCGAAGGCGGCUCACUGGACCGUUGUUG